This 283-nucleotide ribosomal RNA is filed under the name uncultured bacterium. RNAcentral describes it as "partial 16S ribosomal RNA". It matches the Rfam family "Bacterial small subunit ribosomal RNA", at positions 9 to 294 of the family's 1533-position model. The record is from RNAcentral.
GAGUUUGAUCAUGGCUCAGAUUGAACGCUGGCGGAAUGCUUUACACAUGCAAGGCGAACGGCAGCACGGACUUCGGUCUGGUGGCGAGUGGCGAACGGGUGAGUAACAUAUCGGAACGUAUCCAAUAAUGGGGGAUAACUAAUCGAAAGGUUGGCUAAUACCGCAUACGCCCUACGGGGGAAAGCUAGGGACCUUCGGGCCUGGAGUUAAUGGAGCGGCCGAUAUCUGAUUAGCUAGUUGGUGGGGUAAAGGCCCACCAAGGCGACAAUCAGUAGCUGGUCUG